Molecule: long non-coding RNA, 3540 nt
Filed under: Homo sapiens (human)
Lineage: Eukaryota; Metazoa; Chordata; Mammalia; Primates; Hominidae
Description: PREDICTED lncRNA (TCONS_00262989)
Source: RNAcentral
GGAAAAGGAAGCUGUGGGUGGAGACACAUCUGACGGGAGGGAUUUGGAUCCUGCCAGCUCGUCCCUGCAACCCCCUACUCCGGUCCCCUCAAACCUGUCCGUGGCUGGCAGCCCUGUGAUACCUCGCCACAUUCUGCAACAGAAUCCGAGAUAGAGGUAGAAGUGGGGGAGUACGUCGUGGCUGUCAGGGCAGCUUUCUGUAAAAUGCUGCCUGGAGGAGCAUGUGAUUCCAGACCCUCCUCUCUGCAACGAAAGUGAGGUUGACACCUGCAGGCCUGGGGCCUCCUGGCCCACUGAGCAGAACACACAGAAGCUGGGCCCACCCCUGCCCUCCCCACAAAGGGUCACGGGAGCCACCGCCUGACUUUGAAGCCCACUGACUUGCGGCUGACAAGAGAAAAGAAUGUGCCCCUGUGAUCAUGUGAAAGCAUCAGCCAGGGGUCCAAGAACUUCCCUCUGGAGCCUCACACUCCCAGCGUGGCACCCAGCAGGGAACAGAUUCUCUCCAAACCUUUGUGAAUGAAUGAAGGAUGACGUCACUAGAAUCCAUCCCUGUUUUAUUUUUUAUUUUUAUUUUUUGAGACAGAGUCUCGCUCUGUUGUUGCCCAGGCUGGAGUGCGGUGGCACAAUCUCAGCUCACUACAACCUCCGCCUCCCCGGUUCAAGUGAUUCUCCUGCCUCAACCUCCUGAGUAGCUGGGAUUACAGGCACCCAUCACCACGCCUGGCUAAUUUUUGUGUGUGUUUAGUACAGACGGGGUUUCACCACGUUGGCCAGACUGGUCUUGAACUCCUGACCUCAGGUGAUCCGCCUGCCUCGGCCUCCCAAAGUGUUGGGAUUACAGGCGUGAGCCACCACGCCCAUGCCCAUCCCCAUUUUAUAGACAAGGAUACCAAGGCUCAGAGAGGGGAAGCCACUUGCCAAGGACGCACAGGAGGACACCAGUGAGCAGGACCUCUGGUCUGUCUGGGAGGCCACUGGGCCUCUUCCCAGAGUCUCUGCUUGGUGAGCCAGGAUUUUACACCCGCCUUGGGCCCAGUGGGCUGAGAGGACAUGGGCUGGGGUGUCGGAAGCUGCAGAGCUGAUCCCUCCUGCUUGGCUGGAGGCUUGCAGACCCGGCAGGCAGGCUCGGGAGGCAGCGGGCGACUUGAAAAUGCACUCCCUACCACAGGCUCAAGAGUGACGGCGCCUGUCAGGGACCGGGAGGCAGGGCCUGUCUUUUCCUGCUGUUUUAUUGCCUUCAAAGUCUGGACCAAGUGGUUUCUGGAUGGAGUCACGGUAACCUCACGUCUAUUCAAGCAAUUCGUUCAUUGUUUCAUUUAGUAAAAUACCCACAAAACAAGGAAGAACACCUUGGCGGUGCCUCUGAUCCCCCCAUUUGUCUGCAAAUCGGAAAAGCAUGAUUCCAUCGAUCUCCUGUUUAUUGAGCGCCUACUACAUGCUAGGUCGGAUGGUCUAGUUCAACCCCUCGCAACGCCACAGCUGCUGUCUGUUUCGUAUCUUGUAUUUUUCGCUUGACAGUUUAUCAUGUGCAUUUUCUCGGGUACCAAAGGCCCUUGUAAGAGAUGGUGUCUGGAGAAUGGGUAUCUCAGGGGCCUACCACCUGGCUUACCUCCUCCCAAAUCAGGGUUCCUCUGCACCACCUCCUCUCUGUCCAGCUCCUCCUUCAGGGCCUGGCUCAAUUCUACCUCCUCCACAAAGCCCUCCAUUCCCUCCCCUCCUGGUCAGUGUUGUCUCUUUUGCAGCCACUAGCUCUCUGCCUUGCCUCACCCGGGUCUCCUAUCCCUCUCCUUCUCUCUCAUGGAGUGAUGCCUUUUUUCUUCCUCUACACACAUCAGGUCUGAGCUCAAAGUCACCUUGUCAAAGGCCCUCCCAGGACCACCCUGUGUGAUUAUCCUGUGGGCUUGUUCCUGUGUUUGUCCCUGAGCCCACAGGGUCUGGUGGUUCAGUAGAAGGACUCCUGCAGAAGGUGCUGGAUAAACACUGGAAGAUCUAGAAAUAAAAAUAAAAGAAAGACUGGGCGCGGUGGCUCAGGCCUGUAAUCCCAACACUUUGGGAGGCCGAGGUGGGCGGAUCCCCUGAGGUCAGGAGUUCGAGACUAACCUGGCCAACAUGGCGAAACCCCAUCUCUACUAAAAAUACAAAAAUUAGCCAGGCAUGGUGGCAUGUGCCUGUAAUCCCAGCUACUCAGGAGGCUGAGGCAGGAGAAUCGCUUGAACCCGGGAGGCAGAGGUUGUAGUGAGCUGAGAUCGCGCCACCGCACUCUAGCCUGGGCGAAAGAGUGAGACUGUAUCCCAAAAAUAAUAAAAUAAAAUAAAAUAAAAUAAAAUAAAAUAAAAUAAAAUAAAAUAAAAUAAAAUAAAGCACACUCAGUUAAAUAUGAAUGUCAGAUAAGUACCAAAUAACUUGUGAGUAUAAAUGUAUCCCAAAUAUGGAAUGGAAUACACAUAGUAAACAUUUUUUUUUAUUAUCUCAAAUUCAAAUGACACUCAGCAUCUUGAAUUUAAUCUGACAACUCCACCUCCUCCUACCCUCUUUGCCCCUUGUCAGGCAAGCUCAAUAGCUAGGCCGAGAGCUGCUGAGGGCGGGGACCUUGUCUGUCUAGGCCACUGCUGUAUGCGUGCCUGGCCCUCAGCAGGGAACCUGACAUGAAGCACACGCUGGAUAAAUAAAUACCUGUUGCUGGAGCGAGUGAUGGGUUCCCAGCCCUCACUGGGGAAUCGAGGGGACUCCACCUCAGCCCAGCCAGAUGGAAUCGUCGGGAACAGAGUGCACCUUAAUUUCUGCGAAGACCAAUGCAAAUUAGAAGAAGACUGAGAUGCAGGCUGUUUGAUCCAAGAGAUGCUUUUUAAUUAUUGUAAAACAGCUGUGACUUACUGAGCACCAACUGUGUACCCGGCCUCACACUGUUCUCAUACACAACAGCUCCACGGGGAAGGCAUUCUCACCGAGAUUCAGAGAGGGGCAGACCUGGCCUCGGGUCGCACAGCUGGGAACCGGACACCGGGCUCUCUCCAGUCAGCUCGGGUGCUGCUGGCCCCAGCACCUCCCCCAUGGCGUGGACCAGGGCCUCCGAGGCUGCUUUAAAGAAGGUUCUUUGAGAACGGCGCAUGUACCGUGUGGACACUCGUGUGCGCCCCUGAAGUUUUUGAGCCAGCCACCCUGUCAUCAAUCUUGGUUAUGCAGUUCAUUUAUUCAGUAGACCCCAGGUUCCCAUCCACGUUUGGUGCACAGGAGAACUCCCCUGCUCAGGAAUUCUGAAUUAAGGAGGCUUUGAAUGAACGAGGCUCUACUGAAUUUAAAUUCCAGAUGGGGCAGGGAGGGGCUGGGUACUGGUGAGCGGCACAGACUGGGCAGGUAGAUGCGGCAGGAGUUCGAAUCCAGCCCCUACCGUUUCUCAGAUCUGUGACUUUGGAAAAAUCACUUUCUCUGGCCCUCAAUUUUGCCAUCUCUAAAGAGGGGGCUGAAUGAAUUCAGACACCCCAAGGCCCCACAAAGUGCUAACGACUGAGAUACGCUGGGGUUGGAGGUGAUUGGGAA